UGCGCCCUACGAGAGGCAGCAGUCGAGAAUCAUUCACAAUGGGGGAAACCCUGAUGGUGCGACGCCGCGUGGGGGAAUGAAGGUCUUCGGACUGUAAACCCCUGUCAUGUGGGAGCAAAUUAAAAAGAUAGUACCACAAGAGGAAGAGACGGCUAACUCUGUGCCAGCAGCCGCGGUAAUACAGAGGUCUCAAGCGUUGUUCGGAAUCACUGGGCGUAAAGCGUGCGUAGGCUGUUUCGUAAGUCGUGUGUGAAAGGCGCGGGCUCAACCCGCGGACGGCACAUGAUACUGCGAGACUAGAUGAA
Molecule: ribosomal RNA, 305 nt
Filed under: uncultured bacterium
Lineage: Bacteria
Description: bacterial SSU rRNA
Rfam family: Bacterial small subunit ribosomal RNA
Source: RNAcentral